AUGAGGAGCACGCCGGCUGUCGCCGCCCCGUCCGCGGGGUCCGUGCGCGCAGCGUCGUGUCUCCUCCGUCGCGAAAAAAAUAACAAACGACUCUCGGCAACGGAUAUCUCGGCUCUCGCAUCGAUGAAGAACGUAGCGAAAUGCGAUACUUGGUGUGAAUUGCAGAAUCCCGUGAACCAUCGAGUCUUUGAACGCAAGUUGCGCCCCAAGCCAUUAGGCCGAGGGCACGUCUGCCUGGGUGUCACGCAUCGUCGCCCCUCCCCAUCCCUGGCCCCUCGGGGCUCCGGGUGAGGCGGGGGGCGGAAAAUGGCCUCCCGUGAGCUCCGCGCUCGCGGUUGGCCUAAAAUCGGGUCCUCGGCGACGAUAGCGCCGCGACAAUCGGUGGUCAUGCCUCGAGCGCUCCGGUCGCGUGCGUUUUCGUUCGUUCGGACCCUUCGAGACCCUACUCGCGUCGCACGAGCGAUGCUCGCAUCGCGACCCC
RNAcentral lists this ribosomal RNA (481 nucleotides) under Ceiba pentandra (kapoktree). RNAcentral describes it as "eukaryotic LSU rRNA". The stretch from base 89 to 244 matches the Rfam family "5.8S ribosomal RNA". The record is from RNAcentral. Lineage: Eukaryota; Viridiplantae; Streptophyta; Magnoliopsida; Malvales; Malvaceae.